RNAcentral lists this small nuclear RNA (107 nucleotides) under Phocoena sinus (vaquita). Lineage: Eukaryota; Metazoa; Chordata; Mammalia; Artiodactyla; Phocoenidae. The record is from RNAcentral. RNAcentral also lists the same sequence under 1 other name.
GUGCUCGCUUCGGCAGCACAUAUACUAAAAUUGGAACGAUACAGAGAAGAUUAGCAUGGCCCCUGUGCAAGGAUGACAUGCAAAUUUGUGAAGCGUUCCAUAUUUAA